CUCUGUAUCCUGCAGGUGACUUCUCAGUCCCAGCUCUGGGGAAUGCAUCCAUACAAGAGAAACAGCACACAGUGGAAGGAAUUCAUUUCUCAGGAAAAGAGACAGAUGUGAUAUUAUGAAGAAUGGUCAGGGAAAUUGAUUGUCCAUUGACACUCAGUUUCACAGUGAAAAUUCAGCUUUCCUAAUUUCCAGACUUCUUCCCAGGCCCAGUUGAAGAACCAUAUCCUUUAUGAAGCUGCCCCUGACUCUCUUCCUUUUCUAAAUGGCUCCAGUAUUCAUGGCCCUUGCCCCACCAUAGCCCACUUGGUACAUACAUUGCAUUUUUGUGUAUGCUACAACCCCUGGAAAUCAUGUAAAGUUGUAUAUAUAUUCAUAUAAUGAGAACUUAAUAAAUUAUUUCAUGGAAUACAUCAAAGACCCAAGACCAAAUUAAAAGGUCUACACCCGAAGUAAAAACUUUUAAAGAUCCUUUA
Long non-coding RNA from Herpailurus yagouaroundi (jaguarundi), 473 nucleotides. RefSeq lists it as uncharacterized. The record is from RefSeq and is a predicted model, not a curated record. The transcript is spliced from 3 exons. Lineage: Eukaryota; Metazoa; Chordata; Mammalia; Carnivora; Felidae.